Molecule: ribosomal RNA, 427 nt
Filed under: uncultured bacterium
Lineage: Bacteria
Description: bacterial SSU rRNA
Rfam family: Bacterial small subunit ribosomal RNA
Source: RNAcentral
UAGGGAAUAUUGGACAAUGGGGGCAACCCUGAUCCAGCCAUGCCGCGUGAGUGAAGAAGGCCCUCGGGUUGUAAAGCUCUUUUGUCCGGAAAGAAAAGCAUUCGGUGAAUACCCGGAUGUUCUGACGGUACCGGAAGAAUAAGCACCGGCUAACUUCGUGCCAGCAGCCGCGGUAAUACGAAGGGCGCAAGCGUUAAUCGGAAUUACUGCGCGUAAAGCGUGCGCAGGCGGUUUGUUAAGUCUGCUGUGAAAUCCCCGAGCUCAACUUGGGAAUUGCAGUGGAUACUGGCAAGCUGGAGUACGGUAGAGGAAGGUGGAAUUCCCGGUGUAGCAGUGAAAUGCGUAGAGAUCGGGAGUAACACCAGUGGCGAAGGCGGCCUUCUGGACCAGUACUGACGCUCAUGCACGAAAGCGUGGGGAGCAAACA